UGGAGGGCCUGACCACUUCCCUGCGUGGCAGCUGCAACAAGGACCCCGGCUCUGACCCUGGCUCCAGCCCUGACUCCGACUCCGCCACCCCUGAUGAUACCAGCAACUCGUCCUCUGUGGAUUGGGACACUGUUGAGAGGCAGGAGGAGGCCCCCAGCUGGGACGACCUCGCAGUGAUGAUCCCUAGGAGACCUCAGGAGGGGUCGAGAGCUGACAGCUCCCAAAAGGCCCCAUCUCUCCUCACCAGGUCCCCUGUGGGAGGAGACACUGCAGGCCAGAAAAAGGAGGACACUGGCGGUGGGGGCCGGAGCGCAGGACAGCACUGGGCAAAGCUCCGGGGAGAAAGUGGGUUCUUCUCCCUGGAGCGGCACCGGUCAACACUGACCCAGGCUUCCUCCAUGACACCACACAGCGGACCUCGAAGCACCACGCCUUGGGCUUCCCCUGCCCAAAGGGACACUGCUCAGGCUGCCUCUACACGUGAAACCCCCCGAGCCUCCUCUCCCCACCGAAUCACCCAAAGGGACACCUCCAGGGCCUCAUCCACCCAACAGGACACCUCCAGGGCCUCAUUUACACAGCGGAACACCCCCAGAGCUUCCUCUCCCUCACGAAGCACCCAACAGGAUAACCCCAGAACCUCGUCCAACCAACAAAAUAAUCCUCAAUAUUCCUCUCCCCAAAGAGCCACCCAACAAGAUAACCCUAGAACCUCUUCUACCCAGCAGGACAACCCCCAAAGUUCUUUUCCUACUUGUACUCCCCAGUGGGACAACCCCAGGACACCCUGUGCCCGACGGGGUGAUCCUAGAGCCUCCUCUCCCAACAGAGCCACCCAACGAGACAACCCCAGAACAUCUUGUGCCCAGCGGGACGAUCCCAGAGCCUCCUCUCCCAAUAGAGCCACAAGAGACAACCCCAGAACAUCCUGUGCCCAGCGGGACAAUCCCAGAACCUUCUCUCAGAUCAAAGCUACCCAACAGGACAACUCCUGUGCCCAGCGGGACAAUCCCAGAGCCUCCUCUCCCAAUAGAGCCACCCAACAAGACAACCCCAGAACUUCCUAUGCCCAGCGGGACGAUCCCAGAGCCUCCUCUCCCAGUAGAGCUUCCCAACAGGACAACCCCAGAACUUCUAUUCAACAGAACAUCCCCAGAUCAUCUUCUACCCAACAAGACAACCCUAAAACCUCUUGUACCAAACGGGAUAACCUCAGACCCACUCGUACACAGCGGGACCGCACACAGUCCUUUUCCUUUCAACGAGACAACCCUGGAAUCUCUUCAUCUCAAUGCUGCACCCAAAAGGAGAAUCUGAGACCAUCAUCUCCCCACCGCUCCACUCAAUGGAACAAUCCCAGGAAUUCAUCUCCACAUCGUACUAACAAAGACAUCCCCUGGGCCUCCUUUCCCCUCCGGCCAACUCAGAGUGAUAGUCCCCGAACCUCUUCCCCAUCUCGCUCCAAGCAAAAUGAGGUUCCCUGGGCAUCCAUUGCCCUCCGGCCAACCCAAGGUGACAGGCCUCAGACAUCCUCUCCCAGCAGGCCUGCCCAGCAUGACCCACCCCAGUCCUCCCUUGGCCCCACCCAGUACAACUUGCCAUCCCGGGCCACCUCUUCCUCCCAUAACCCAGGCCACCAGAGCACCUCCCGGACUUCCUCACCUGUGUACCCUGCUGCCUGUGGGGUUCCCUUGACCUAUCCUGAGCCCUCCCAGCCUCCAUGUGCCGUGUGCAUUGGGCACCGGGAUGCCCCUCGAGCCUCUUCGCCCCCUCGCUAUUUGCAGCACGACCCCUUCCCCUUCUUCCCAGAGCCCCACGCCCCAGAGAGUGAAUCACCCCACCACGAGCCUCCCUAUAUACCACCUGCUGUGUGCAUUGGACACCGAGAUGCCCCCCAGGCGUCCUCACCCCCCCGCCACACCCAAUUUGACCCCUUCCCCUUUCUCCCAGACACAUCAGACGCCGAGCAUCGGUGUCAGUCCCCCCAACACGAGCCCCUACAGCUCCCCGCACCUGUAUGUAUUGGGUACCGAGACGCACCCCGGGCCUCCUCCCCACCACGCCAGGCCCCAGAGCCUUCCCUCUUAUUCCAGGACCUCCCCAGGGCCAGCACAGAGAGCCUUGUCCCUUCCAUGGACUCUCUGCACGAGCGCCCCCAAAUCCCCACCCCUGUGUGCAUUGGGCACCGGGAUGCACCCUCCUUCUCAUCCCCACCACGCCAGGCUCCUGAGCCAUCCCUCUUCUUCCAGGACCCCCCUGGAACUAGUAUGGAGAGCCUGGCCCCCUCCACUGACUCUCUGCAUGGCUCCCCAGUGCUGAUCCCCCAAGUAUGCAUCGGGCACCGGGAUGCACCCCGAGCCUCCUCCCCACCCCGCCACCCACCCAGUGACCUAGCGUUCCUGGCACCCUCACCUUCGCCGGGCAGCUCCGGGGGCUCCCGGGGCUCAGUGCCUCCCGGGGAGACCAGGCAUAACUUGGAGCGAGAGGAGUACACUGUGCUGGCUGACCUGCCCCCACCCAGGAGGCUGGCCCAGAGACAGCCAGGGACCCAGGCGCAGCGCAGCAGCGGGGGCCGCACCCGCAGCCCUGGCCGCGCGGAGGUGGAGCGCCUCUUUGGGCAAGAGCGCAGGUGAGCCCAGGGGUGGGGUCAGCCAAGUGGGCUGGGGAGGAGGCUCGGCAGCCUGACAGGUGGAAGUUUCUCAGGGUUAGGAUGCCAGGAGAGUGUUCAAAUCCCCCUGGCUUGCCAUUUACUGGCUGUGUGACCUUGGGCAAAUCACUCCAUUUCUCUGUUUCUGCAUAUUAGGAGUUUUCUGGUUUUGUGUGUGUAUGUGGUUAAGUGAUGUCAUGCACAGCCCAGUGGUUAACUGCAAAGACUGCAGUCAG
Molecule: RNA transcript, 2883 nt
Organism: Piliocolobus tephrosceles (Ugandan red Colobus)
Lineage: Eukaryota; Metazoa; Chordata; Mammalia; Primates; Cercopithecidae
Gene name: TRIO and F-actin-binding protein pseudogene
Exons: 4
Source: RefSeq, a predicted model, not a curated record